This 470-nucleotide long non-coding RNA is filed under the name Rattus norvegicus (Norway rat). RNAcentral describes it as "long non-coding RNA NONRATT016754". Lineage: Eukaryota; Metazoa; Chordata; Mammalia; Rodentia; Muridae. The record is from RNAcentral.
AAAAAGAAAAGAAAGAUUCUUGCUUGCAUGCUGUAAGGUUCCUGAAUAAACUGCUUUGAGAAGAAUGCUGUGUCAUCGCUCUUUUCUGCGGGUCGGAGACAGAGGGACAAGUGGUGGCCCUUACAGGGACCCUCCUCCUUCGUUCAGAACUCAACGCGGUCAGAGCGGCUAGCCAGUAAGUUCCCAGGAUCAUCGGCAGCCGCUGUGGGUCCGGGAGAGGCUGACCAGAGCGGUCCAAGAUGAACGGAAGGAGGAUACUAUGGAUGUUCCUAGUGUUGCCGAUAAUUCCUGCAGUGAUGGCUGAAGACCUAUGCUGGGGGCUUUUAUCUGUGUUUCCCAAGCCCCUGUCACUGAUGCAUUCAACGCAAGUGUUCCCCGAUUUUUUUCCUCUAAUGCUUUGCUAUAGCUACCCUUCCUACCCUGGGAUGGGGAUAUAGUGCCUAUAAAUGAUUUGAUGCAGCUUUAGUUAG